AGCAGCCGCGGUAAUUCCAGCUCCAAUAGCGUAUAUUAAAGUUGUUGCAGUUAAAAAGCUCGUAGUUGAAUUUCGGGACCAAUUUGUUGGUCGUGCCUCGGUACGUACUGGUACUAUUGGUUUCUCCCUUCUGAAGAACCUCGAUGCCAUUAAUUUGGUGUCGUGGGGAAUCAGGACUGUUACUUUGAAAAAUUAGAGUGUUUAAAGCAAGCAUACGCUUGAAUACAUUAGCAUGGAAUAAUGAAAUAGGACGUUUGAUUCUAUUUUGUUGGUUUCUAGGAUCGACGUAAUGAUUAAUAGGGAUAGUUGGGGGCAUUAGUAUUCAAUUGUCAGAGGUGAAAUUCUUGGAUUUAUUGAAGACUAACUACUGCGAAAGCAUUUGCCAAGGAUGUUUUCAUUAAUCAAGAACGAAAGUUAGGGGAUCGAAGACGAUCAGAUACCGUCGUAGUCUUAACCAUAAACUAUGCCGACUAGGGAUCGGAUGAUGUUAAUUUUUUAAUGU
Molecule: unclassified non-coding RNA, 502 nt
Filed under: uncultured Glomus
Lineage: Eukaryota; Fungi; Glomeromycota; Glomeromycetes; Glomerales; Glomeraceae
Description: SSU rRNA
Rfam family: Eukaryotic small subunit ribosomal RNA
Source: RNAcentral